Molecule: transfer RNA, 72 nt
Filed under: Henricia leviuscula
Lineage: Eukaryota; Metazoa; Echinodermata; Asteroidea; Spinulosida; Echinasteridae
Also listed under: 1 other name
Description: tRNA-Leu
Rfam family: tRNA
About the family: Transfer RNA (tRNA) molecules are approximately 80 nucleotides in length.
Source: RNAcentral
GCUAAAAUAGCAAAGUGGUAAAUGCUGUAGAUUUAGGUUCUAUUAUCAAAGGUUCAAAUCCUUUUUUUAGUU